This 432-nucleotide ribosomal RNA is filed under the name uncultured bacterium. Its description in RNAcentral is "bacterial SSU rRNA". It matches the Rfam family "Bacterial small subunit ribosomal RNA", at positions 45 to 524 of the family's 1533-position model. The record is from RNAcentral.
GGCCUAACACAUGCAAGUCGAACGAGACUUCGGGUCUAGUGGCGCACGGGUGCGUCACGCGUGGGAAUCUGCCCUUGGGUUCGGAAUAACAGCGAGAAAUUGCUGCUAAUACCGGAUGAUGACGUAAGUCCAAAGAUUUAUCGCCCAGGGAUGAGCCCGCGUAGGAUUAGCUAGUUGGUGGGGUAAAGGCCUACCAAGGCGACGAUCCUUAGCUGGUCUGAGAGGAUGAUCAGCCACACUGGGACUGAGACACGGCCCAGACUCCUACGGGAGGCAGCAGUGGGGAAUAUUGGACAAUGGGCGAAAGCCUGAUCCAGCAAUGCCGCGUGAGUGAUGAAGGCCUUAGGGUUGUAAAGCUCUUUUACCCGGGAUGAUAAUGACAGUACCGGGAGAAUAAGCUCCGGCUAACUCCGUGCCAGCAGCCGCGGUAAU